Molecule: long non-coding RNA, 1041 nt
Filed under: Apteryx haastii (Great spotted kiwi)
Lineage: Eukaryota; Metazoa; Chordata; Aves; Apterygiformes; Apterygidae
Description: lncRNA (ENSAHAG00000013883.1)
Source: RNAcentral
AUGAGGCCAUUAGGCAGGAGAAGGGCAGAGGAUGGACAUGCCUCAAGCGUGCUCCUGGUUGCAGCCUGGAGAGCCUGUGCUUCCAGCACAUACCCACUGCCGGGGGGAAUGUGGGGCUGCUAUCCCAGGGGACCUGGGGCUGCUGUCCUAGGGGAUAUGGAACCACUGUCCCAGGAUUAUGGGAUCCAUGUCCUGGGCUCUUGGGUUGCUGCCCCCAGGACUUGGGGCUGCUGUUCCAGGGUAAUGGGGCCACUCUCCCUGGGGCUAUGUGGCCGCUGUGCCGGGGGGCUUGAGGCUACUCUCCAGGGCCCAUGUGCCGCCGUCCACGGAGCCUGGGGCCGCUGUCCUGGGGUGCUCGGACCUCCACGGGGGUCAGCCACUCCCCGACCCCGUCCCGGCAGCGCCGGGCAAGGAGCAGCCGGGGCCGGUGGUGGCCGGGACAGGCCGGGGGCGUGCUGGGGGCCGGCGGGCCCUUUAAGAAAGUUGAAGCCCGAAAGUUCAUUAAAGUUGAGAAAGUUUUUCGUGGAAAGGGGAAAAAAGCCAAAAACAACAAAAAACCCCCGCACCCCCCUCAGUGGGAUGGGUGCUGCCGUGCCCGGCGGAGGGUCUCCCGGGCUGCACAAUAUCCCGCGGGGCUGGUGGAGACGGGCUCCGGCUGCCUCCCUCCUCCCUGGCUGCAUCCCGGCACGUCGGCGCCAGCAAAGGGCUCUUUGUUCCUCGGAUCCGAGGCCCGACUUUCUCCCACGUCGCGGGGGCUGUGGACGCGGCCGGGGCCUGGACACAGGCAGCAGAGCAGGGCUCCCGGCUCCAACUCCUGGCUCCAGCUCCUGCCGCAGGCAGAAACGGGCCACGGGAACCAGAGCCGCUUCGCUUCCCUGUGGCACGGUUGCACCACUUGCCCACUUCAUCCUUCCUGGGCCGAGCAGCCGGUGCAGCUCCAGGGCUGGAGCGAGGGGGUCCGACCCUGGCUUCACCCGGGAGCCCACGGAGAAGAGCAUAAAACGGGUAAAAGGAGGAAAAAAAGAGGUAAAAGGGGGCUAA